GGGGGCUAACUGGCAGUUCGAACGAGUUCUUCGGACUUAGUGGCGGACGGGUGAGUAACGCGUGAGAAUCUACCUUCAGGACGGGGACAACAGCUGGAAACGGCUGCUAAUACCCGAUAUGCCGAAAGGUGAAAAGUUGUUUCGCCUGGAGAGGAGCUCGCGUCCGAUUAGCUAGUUGGUGAGGUAAAAGCUUACCAAGGCGACGAUCGGUAGCUGGUCUGAGAGGAUGAGCAGCCACACUGGAACUGAGACAUGUUCUAACUCCUACGGGAGGCAGCAGUGGGGAUUUUUCCGCAAUGGGCGAAAGCCUGACGGAGCACGCCGCGUGGGGGAGAGGUUUUUGGAUUGUAAACCCCUUUUCUCAAGGAAGAACAAAAUGACGGUACUUGAGGAAUCAGCCUCGGCUAACUCCGUGCCAGCAGCCGCGGUAAUACGGAGGAGGCAAGCGUUAUCCGGAAUUAUUGGGCGUAAAGCGUUCGUAGGCGGCUGUUCAAGUCUGCUGUCAAAGACCGAGGCUCAACCUCGGGUCGGCAGUGGAAACUGGAUAGCUAGAGGUCGGUAGGGGCAGAGGGAAUUCCCAGUGUAGCGGUGAAAUGCGUAGAUAUUGGGAAGAACACCGGUGGCGAAAGCGCUCUGCUGGGCCGAACCUGACGCUGAGGGACGAAAGCUAGGGGAGCGAAUGGGAUUAGAUACCCCAGUAGUCCUAGCCGUAAACGAUGGAAACUAGGUGUGGCCUGUAUCGACCCGGGCCGUGCCGAAGCUAACGCGUUAAGUUUCCCGCCUGGGGAGUACGCACGCAAGUGUGAAACUCAAAGGAAUUGACGGGGGCCCGCACAAGCGGUGGAGUAUGUGGUUUAAUUCGAUGCAACGCGAAGAACCUUACCAGGGCUUGACAUGCCGCGAAUCUUCCUGAAAGGGAAGAGUGCCUACGGGAGCGCGGACACAGGUGGUGCAUGGCUGUCGUCAGCUCGUGUCGUGAGAUGUUGGGUUAAGUCCCGCAACGAGCGCAACCCUCGUCCUUAGUUGCCAUCAUUAAGUUGGGCACUCUAGGGAGACUGCCGGUGAUAAACCGGGAGGAAGGUGGGGGAUGACGUCAAGUCAUCAUGCCCCAUAUGUCCUGGCUACACACGUACUACAUGGUCGGGACACGAGCAGCACUCGCAGAGCGCGCUAAUCUUUUUAAACCCGGCCUCCAGUUCAGAUUGCAGGCUGCAACUCGCCUGCAUGAAAGGAAGGAAUCGCUAGUAAUCGCAGGUCAGCAUACUGCGGGGAAUCCGUUUCCCGGGCCUUGUACACACCGCCCGUCACACCAUGGAAGUUGGCCAUGCCCGAAGUCGUUACCCUAACCGUUCGCGGAGGGGGAUGCCGAAGGCAGGGCUGAUGACUGGGGUGAAGUCGUAACAAGGUAGCCGUACCGGAAGGUGUGGCUGGAUCACCUCCUUUUUAGGGAGACCUAAACCCAAGACCUUGAGGAUGUAAGUAAGCCCAAGGAAUUGAGGUCAACCUCGCUCGGUCGGAGACUCGUCGAAGCUUUCAAACGAUUAAGAGGUUAGGAACCCGAGGGAAUCAAAGAAAUGUGAAGAACUCGGACAAGAGACCAACCUUGAAAUGGGCUAUUAGCUCAGGUGGUUAGAGCGCACCCCUGAUAAGGGUGAGGUCCCUGGUUCAAGUCCAGGAUGGCCCACCUAAGACUUAGUGCUGUCAGUAGCAGUCAUUAAGAAAAUGGGGGUAUAGCUCAGUUGGUAGAGCGCCUGCUUUGCAAGCAGGAUGUCAGCGGUUCGAGUCCGCUUACCUCCAUGCUGGUCUCGCCCCAAAAAAAUCCUAAACUCAAAAGCCAAGAUCACUCAGCACCUGAGAAAGACUCAGACUGCUGGGAGAUCCCAGCGAGAACCUUGAAAACUGCAUAGUCAACCUAAAAAAAGUCAGGUGAAGUCGAGACCUCGAAAAGAGAGGUCAA
RNAcentral lists this ribosomal RNA (1957 nucleotides) under Oscillatoriales cyanobacterium QUCCCM113. RNAcentral's name for it is "bacterial SSU rRNA". The stretch from base 1 to 1443 matches the Rfam family "Bacterial small subunit ribosomal RNA". Lineage: Bacteria; Bacillati; Cyanobacteriota; Cyanophyceae; Oscillatoriales. The record is from RNAcentral.